GCGGAAUCUGAAAGAAGUCGGCGGCAAAGUCUCGGUCUGACGAACAGGAAGCGGAUAAGAGGCAGUCGUAAGUGGGCAAGUGUGCUAAACAAGACGAAGCCCAAAACUAUCCGAAACUUGCGAAUGUAAAUCCGACAGAUAUAUGAGACGAAAGUGAUAGUU
Ignavibacteria bacterium is the source of this 162-nucleotide non-coding RNA. The record is from Rfam. NCBI's taxonomy places the organism in Bacteria, Pseudomonadati, Ignavibacteriota, Ignavibacteria.